UGGUAGACCGGUGACGUACA
RNAcentral lists this microRNA (20 nucleotides) under Mus musculus (house mouse). Its description in RNAcentral is "mmu-miR-1193-5p". The record is from miRBase by way of RNAcentral. Lineage: Eukaryota; Metazoa; Chordata; Mammalia; Rodentia; Muridae.